CCUACGGGCGGCAGCAGUGGGGAAUAUUGGGCAAUGGGCGCAAGCCUGACCCAGCAACGCCGCGUGAAGGAAGAAGGCUCUCGGGUUGUAAACUUCUUUUAUCAGGGACGAAGCAAGUGACGGUACUUGAUGAAUAAGCCACGGCUAACUACGUGCCAGCAGCCGCGGUAAUACGUAGGUGGCAAGCGUUAUCCGGAUUUACUGGGUGUAAAGGGAGUGUAGGCGGGAAAGCAAGUCAGAUGUGAAAACCAUGGGCUCAACCUGUGGCCUGCAUUUGAGACUGGUUUUCUUGAGUGCUGGAGAGGCAGACGGAAUUCGUAGUGUAGCGGUGAAAUGCGUAGAUAUUAGGAAGAACACCGGUGGCGAAGGCAGUCUGCUGGACAGCAACUGACGCUGAGGCGCGAAAGCGUGGGGAGCAAACAGGAUUAGAUACCCCUGUAGUC
Molecule: ribosomal RNA, 443 nt
Filed under: uncultured bacterium
Lineage: Bacteria
Description: partial 16S ribosomal RNA
Rfam family: Bacterial small subunit ribosomal RNA
Source: RNAcentral